Molecule: non-coding RNA, 678 nt
Organism: Schizosaccharomyces pombe (fission yeast)
Lineage: Eukaryota; Fungi; Ascomycota; Schizosaccharomycetes; Schizosaccharomycetales; Schizosaccharomycetaceae
Source: the annotation of a GenBank genome assembly
CAAUAAUUGUAUCGAAGCAUUGAAAACACAAACAUUCUUUUUGCACAGAAACAAAAACAAAAAAACGAAAUGAAGCCUACAGCACCCCGGAUUCCCAUGUUGUCUCCAACCAUAGUACUAACGAGGCCCUCAGACGCUUAACUGCAGUGAUCGGACGGGAACUGGUGUUUUCGCCUAGGUAUGGCCGUAGACAUUAAACAUGUCUAGUUUAUAAAUUAUAUAGUCAAGAAAUCUUGAAUGCAGCCCUUAAGUGUAGCUUGUUAUCAGUGCAGAAGAAUAGUUCGUAGUAAGAAAAACUGCGUAGAACAAUACUACAAAAAGGCAAUAAAAUCGAUCAAUUAGGUUUUCUUUUGAAAAAUGGUUUAUGAUGAUCAAUCACUACAUACCAGUUAUUGUUUUAUUGAGUGUAUUCAGUAGGGAAGUAUUUUUUCCCGCAAUUUGGGUUGGUCAAUGAUUAUGAAGAUAAAUUGAAAACAAUGGACAUACUUGAUACAAAUUGACGUGUUGCCAUCGUUGUCGCAUGUGGUAAUAUAUUAAACCAUUAUAUUUGACAACCAUUACUUAUAUUGCAAGAGAUUAAGCAAGUCUAUUUAUAAAAGCCUGUCAAAAAGUAUUUAUAUGUUUGGAAAUGUAUAACCUGGAAAACCUACAUUGAUACACUGCUAUACUCUAUCACUU